This 484-nucleotide ribosomal RNA is filed under the name uncultured bacterium. RNAcentral describes it as "partial 16S ribosomal RNA". It matches the Rfam family "Bacterial small subunit ribosomal RNA", at positions 30 to 507 of the family's 1533-position model. The record is from RNAcentral.
AUUGAACGCUGGCGGAAUGCUUUACACAUGCAAGUCGAGCGGCAGCGCGGCCUUCGGGCUGGCGGCGAGCGGCGAACGGGUGAGUAAUGCAUCGGAACAUGCCCAGUCGUGGGGGAUAACACUUCGAAAGAAGUGCUAAUACCGCAUACGUCCUGAGGGGGAAAGCGGGGGAUCGCAAGACCUCGCGCGAUUGGAGUGGCCGAUGUCAGAUUAGCUAGUUGGUGGGGUAAAGGCCUACCAAGGCGACGAUCUGUAGCUGGUCUGAGAGGAUGAUCAGCCACACUGGGACUGAGACACGGCCCAGACUCCUACGGGAGGCAGCAGUGGGGAAUUUUGGAUAAUGGGGGCAACCCUGAUCCAGCCAUUCCGCGUGAGUGAAGAAGGCCUUCGGGUUGUAAAGCUCUUUCGGCAGGAACGAAACGGUGGGCUCUAACAUAGUCCGCUAAUGACGGUACCUGAAGAAGAAGCACCGGCUAACUACGUG